AAGGGGAGGGGGUAACUUUAGCAAGGGGGAAAUGGUUUGAGGUGUGUAAGAUUCUCCCUUGCUAAACUUACCCCCUCCCCUU
Non-coding RNA from Podarcis lilfordi (Lilford's wall lizard), 82 nucleotides. NCBI's taxonomy places the organism in Eukaryota, Metazoa, Chordata, Lepidosauria, Squamata, Lacertidae. The record is from the annotation of a GenBank genome assembly.